AAGCCAGCACAGCAGGGGGCGGUAACGCUCCUGGACGCUGAGUAAAGCGGAAGUAGAAGAAGAAGAACGUCGUGAUGACAGUUUCCGGGUCGCCGUGGAUUAGAUGACGUUCCUGUGGGAGAGUUUCGGUGUUUUCCAGCUGCUGUUUGAUCAAACGGACCGACAGUCGGAAGUGUGUGUGCGCGCUGAGACCAUCCCCUGUCAGCUGACCUGCUGACUCCCUGAGUGCCAGUCGGGGGUUUCCCCUCCACACACACACACACACACACACUAACAGAGAUCUCAGUUCAUACACAUUUGGAUCCCUCAGACCGCCAUCAUGGUGUUAGCUGACCUCGGGAGGAAGAUCACCUCGGCGCUGAGGUCGCUCAGCAACGCCACCAUCAUCAAUGAGGAGGUAACCCCG
Molecule: long non-coding RNA, 406 nt
Organism: Notolabrus celidotus (New Zealand spotty)
Lineage: Eukaryota; Metazoa; Chordata; Actinopteri; Labriformes; Labridae
Exons: 4
Source: RefSeq, a predicted model, not a curated record